Molecule: non-coding RNA, 46 nt
Organism: Schistosoma rodhaini
Lineage: Eukaryota; Metazoa; Platyhelminthes; Trematoda; Strigeidida; Schistosomatidae
Source: Rfam
GCACUGCUGAAGAGUCCCACAACUGGACGAAACGCCCGUCCUGUUC